GAUGAACGCUGGCGGCGUGCCUAAUACAUGCAAGUCGAGCGAACGGACGAGAAGCUUGCUCCUCUGAUGUUAGCGGCGGACGGGUGAGUAACACGUGGAUAACCUACCUAUAAGACUGGGAUAACUUCGGGAAACCGGAGCUAAUACCGGAUGAUAUAUUGAACCGCAUGGUUCAAAAGUGAAAGACGGUUUUGCUGUCACUUAUAGAUGGAUCCGCGCUGCAUUAGCUAGUUGGUAAGGUAACGGCUUACCAAGGCAACGAUGCAUAGCCGACCUGAGAGGUUGUUCGGCCCCACUGAAACUGAGACCCGGUCCAGACUCCUAGGGGAGGCAGCAGUAGGGAUUCUUCCGCAAUGGGCGAAGGCCUAACGGAGCAACGCCGCGUGAGUGAUGAAGGUCUUCGGUUCGUAAAACUCUGUUAUUAGGAAAGAACAUAUGUGUAAGUAACUUUGCACAUCUUGCCGGUACCUAAUCAGAAGGCCACGGCUACCUACUU
RNAcentral lists this ribosomal RNA (496 nucleotides) under uncultured bacterium. RNAcentral's name for it is "partial 16S ribosomal RNA". It matches the Rfam family "Bacterial small subunit ribosomal RNA", at positions 28 to 506 of the family's 1533-position model. The record is from RNAcentral.